RNAcentral lists this ribosomal RNA (420 nucleotides) under uncultured bacterium. RNAcentral describes it as "bacterial SSU rRNA". It matches the Rfam family "Bacterial small subunit ribosomal RNA", at positions 79 to 486 of the family's 1533-position model. The record is from RNAcentral.
UUGCUUCUCCGGAUGAGUUGCGAACGGGUGAGUAACGCGUAGGUAACCUGCCUGGUAGCGGGGGAUAACUAUUGGAAACGAUAGCUAAUACCGCAUAACAGUAGAUAUUGCAUGAUAUCUGCUUGAAAGGUGCAAUUGCAUCACUACCAGAUGGACCUGCGUUGUAUUAGCUAGUUGGUGAGGUAACGGCUCACCAAGGCAACGAUACAUAGCCGACCUGAGAGGGUGAUCGGCCACACUGGGACUGAGACACGGCCCAGACUCCUACGGGAGGCAGCAGUAGGGAAUCUUCGGCAAUGGACGGAAGUCUGACCGAGCAACGCCGCGUGAGUGAAGAAGGUUUUCGGAUCGUAAAGCUCUGUUGUAAGAGAAGAACGAGUGUGAGAGUGGAAAGUUCACACUGUGACGGUAUCUUACCAG